This 87-nucleotide transfer RNA is filed under the name Siphoviridae sp. cta6m1. Its description in RNAcentral is "tRNA-Leu". It matches the Rfam family "tRNA". Rfam says of the family: Transfer RNA (tRNA) molecules are approximately 80 nucleotides in length. Their secondary structure includes four short double-helical elements and three loops (D, anti-codon, and T loops). The record is from RNAcentral. Lineage: Duplodnaviria; Heunggongvirae; Uroviricota; Caudoviricetes.
GCUGAUGUGAUGGAACUGGCAUACAUGAGGGACUUAAAAUCCCCUGCCGAUUGUGGAUUAUGGGUUCGACUCCCAUCAUCAGCACCA